GAUUCCCAGGUGUUUCUAUUCAGUGAUCAGCACUGAACACAGAGGAUUCACCAUGGAUUUUGGGCUGAGCUGGGUUUUCCUUGUUGCUAUUUUUAAAGGUGUCCAGUGUGAGGUGCAGCUGGUGGAGUCUGGGGGAGGCUUGGUCCAGCCUGGGGGGUCCCUGAGACUCUCCUGUGCGGCCUCUAGAUUCACUUUCAGUAGCUCUAACAUGCACUGGGCCCGCCAGGCUCCAGGGAAGGGGCUGGAGUGGGUCUCAUUCAUUAGUUAUGAUAGGGGUAGCACAAGCUAAGCAGACUCCGUGAAGGGUAAAUUCACCAUCUCCAGAGACAACGCCAAGAACUCGCUGUAUCUGCAGAUGAACAGCCUGAGAGCCGAGGACAUGGCUGUGUAUUACUGUGUGAGAGACACAGUGAGAGAGGCCCGUGUGAGCCCAGACACAAACCUCCUGCAGGGACACUCGGGGGAAUCAGCUGCAGGGGGCGCUCAGGACCCACUGGUCAGAGUCAACCCCAGAGGCAGGUGCAGAUGGAGCUGAUUUCCUGUCAGAAUGUGGGAUUUUGUCGUUUUACAGUUUCUCUAGUUAAUCUCUCUAAGUUUAGAAUUAUGUGCUCCCAUUUGCUCAGGACCCUCCACUGUGUUGUGUGUAGACUCAUCUGGGAGUGCAAUUGGCUGUUAAUAGUGAAAGGGAUAAACUUAUUUGAUACAAAUGGGAUGUGGAUGUGGAAAUAA
Non-coding RNA from Saimiri boliviensis boliviensis (Bolivian squirrel monkey), 729 nucleotides. NCBI's taxonomy places the organism in Eukaryota, Metazoa, Chordata, Mammalia, Primates, Cebidae. The record is from RefSeq and is a predicted model, not a curated record.